UACCAAGGCGAUAAUGGGUAGCUGGUCUGAGAGGACGAUCAGCCACAUUGGGACUGAGAUACGGCCCAGACUCCUACGGGAGGCAGCAGUGGGGAAUAUUGGACAAUGGACGAAAGUCCGAUCCAGCGACACCGCGUGGGGGAUGAAGGCUUUCGGGUUGUAAACCCCUUUUCUGGGGGAAGAAUAAGGUUGGAGGAAAUGCCCAUCCGAUGACGAUACUCCAGGAAUAAGCAUCGGCAAACUUCGUGCCAGCAGCCGCGGUAAGACGAGGGAUGCAAGCGUUAUCCGGAAUUACUGGGCGUAAAGGACGUCUAGGCGGUUGGAUAAGUCAUUUGUGAAAUCCCAGGGCUUAACCCUGGAAGGUCUUGUGAUACUGUCCGGCUUGGGUGUAGGAGAGGAGGGCGGAACUCUCAGAGUAGCGGUGGAAUGCGUAGAUACUGUGAGGUACCCCGAUGGCGAAGGCAGCUCUCUGGCCUACUACCGACGCUGAAGCGUGAAAGCGUGGGGAGCAAAGGGGAUUAGAUACCCCCGUAGUCCACGCCCCAAACGAUGUUCACUUGGUGUCGGGAGCCUAUAUAUCUCGGUGCCGGAGCUAACGCGCUAAGUGAACCGCCUGAGGAGUACGGCCGCAAGGCUAAAACUCAAGAGAAUUGACGGGUCCCCGCACAAGCGGUGGAGCACGUGGUUUAAUUCGAUAAGCGAAGAACCUCACCUGGGCCUGACAUACUAGUGGUAGGAACCUGAAAGGGUAACGACCCUGCCUUCGGGUAGGGAGCUAAUACAGGUGAUGCAUGGCUGUCGUCAGCUCGUGUCGUGGGAUGUAGGGUUAAGUCCCGAAACGAGCGCAACCCUUGUCACUAGUUGCCAGCGGAUAAUGCCGGGGACUCUAGUGAGACUGCUGGUGAAUAGCCGGAGGAAGGCGGGGAUGACGUCAAGUCAUCAUGUCCCUUAUGCCCAGGGCGACACACAUGCUACAAUGGGAGGUACAAAGGGUUGCAAUACCGCAAGGUGGAGCCAAUCUCAAAAAACCUUCCCCAGUUCGGAUUGUGGUCUGCAACUCGACCACAUGAAGCCGGAAUCGCUAAUAAUCGUAGGUCAGCCAUACUACGGUGAAUAUGUACUCGGGGAUUGUACACACCGCCCGUCACACCAACCGAGUGGGGGGUACCUGAAGUCGUCCUUUUGAGGGCGCCGAAGGUAACCUUCGCAAGAGGGGUGAAGUCGUAACAAGGUA
This 1234-nucleotide ribosomal RNA is filed under the name metagenome. RNAcentral's name for it is "bacterial SSU rRNA". It matches the Rfam family "Bacterial small subunit ribosomal RNA", at positions 266 to 1498 of the family's 1533-position model. The record is from RNAcentral.